Molecule: ribosomal RNA, 1542 nt
Filed under: Escherichia coli
Lineage: Bacteria; Pseudomonadati; Pseudomonadota; Gammaproteobacteria; Enterobacterales; Enterobacteriaceae
Description: bacterial SSU rRNA
Rfam family: Bacterial small subunit ribosomal RNA
Source: RNAcentral
AAAUUGAAGAGUUUGAUCAUGGCUCAGAUUGAACGCUGGCGGCAGGCCUAACACAUGCAAGUCGAACGGUAACAGGAAACAGCUUGCUGUUUCGCUGACGAGUGGCGGACGGGUGAGUAAUGUCUGGGAAACUGCCUGAUGGAGGGGGAUAACUACUGGAAACGGUAGCUAAUACCGCAUAACGUCGCAAGACCAAAGAGGGGGACCUUCAGGCCUCUUGCCAUCGGAUGUGCCCAGAUGGGAUUAGCUUGUUGGUGGGGUAACGGCUCACCAAGGCGACGAUCCCUAGCUGGUCUGAGAGGAUGACCAGCCACACUGGAACUGAGACACGGUCCAGACUCCUACGGGAGGCAGCAGUGGGGAAUAUUGCACAAUGGGCGCAAGCCUGAUGCAGCCAUGCCGCGUGUAUGAAGAAGGCCUUCGGGUUGUAAAGUACUUUCAGCGGGGAGGAAGGGAGUAAAGUUAAUACCUUUGCUCAUUGACGUUACCCGCAGAAGAAGCACCGGCUAACUCCGUGCCAGCAGCCGCGGUAAUACGGAGGGUGCAAGCGUUAAUCGGAAUUACUGGGCGUAAAGCGCACGCAGGCGGUUUGUUAAGUCAGAUGUGAAAUCCCCGGGCUCAACCUGGGAACUGCAUCUGAUACUGGCAAGCUUGAGUCUCGUAGAGGGGGGUAGAAUUCCAGGUGUAGCGGUGAAAUGCGUAGAGAUCUGGAGGAAUACCGGUGGCGAAGGCGGCCCCCUGGACGAAGACUGACGCUCAGGUGCGAAAGCGUGGGGAGCAAACAGGAUUAGAUACCCUGGUAGUCCACGCCGUAAACGAUGUCGACUUGGAGGUUGUGCCCUUGAGGCGUGGCUUCCGGAGCUAACGCGUUAAGUCGACCGCCUGGGGAGUACGGCCGCAAGGUUAAAACUCAAAUGAAUUGACGGGGGCCCGCACAAGCGGUGGAGCAUGUGGUUUAAUUCGAUGCAACGCGAAGAACCUUACCUGGUCUUGACAUCCACGGAAGUUUUCAGAGAUGAGAAUGUGCCUUCGGGAACCGUGAGACAGGUGCUGCAUGGCUGUCGUCAGCUCGUGUUGUGAAAUGUUGGGUUAAGUCCCGCAACGAGCGCAACCCUUAUCCUUUGUUGCCAGCGGUCCGGCCGGGAACUCAAAGGAGACUGCCAGUGAUAAACUGGAGGAAGGUGGGGAUGACGUCAAGUCAUCAUGGCCCUUACGACCAGGGCUACACACGUGCUACAAUGGCGCAUACAAAGAGAAGCGACCUCGCGAGAGCAAGCGGACCUCAUAAAGUGCGUCGUAGUCCGGAUUGGAGUCUGCAACUCGACUCCAUGAAGUCGGAAUCGCUAGUAAUCGUGGAUCAGAAUGCCACGGUGAAUACGUUCCCGGGCCUUGUACACACCGCCCGUCACACCAUGGGAGUGGGUUGCAAAAGAAGUAGGUAGCUUAACCUUCGGGAGGGCGCUUACCACUUUGUGAUUCAUGACUGGGGUGAAGUCGUAACAAGGUAACCGUAGGGGAACCUGCGGUUGGAUCACCUCCUUA